RNAcentral lists this ribosomal RNA (901 nucleotides) under Apogon fugax. RNAcentral's name for it is "partial 16S ribosomal RNA". The stretch from base 193 to 901 matches the Rfam family "Bacterial large subunit ribosomal RNA", at positions 568 to 1719 of the family's 2925-position model. The record is from RNAcentral. Lineage: Eukaryota; Metazoa; Chordata; Actinopteri; Kurtiformes; Apogonidae.
AGCUUGAAAGCUAGCUCUAAACCCCCAAAACUCAACAAUAAAUUAGUUAUAACCCCUAAUAACCUAAGAAACCCCAAACAAACCAUUUUUCCCCCUUAGUAUGGAAGACAGAAAAGGAUAUAUGAAGCAAUAACUGAAGUACCGCAAGGGAACGCUGAAAGAGAAAUGAAAGAAAUCAACAAUAGCACAACAAAGCAGAGUUUAACCCUCGUACCUUUUGCAUCAUGGGUUAGCAAGAAAAAAUUGAGCAAAAAGAGUUUUAGUUCAAUCCCCCGAAACCAAGUGAGCUACCCCAAGACAGCCUAUUAAGGGCGAACCCGUCUCUGUGGCAAAAGAGUGGGAUGAGCUUCGGGUAGCGGUGACAGACCUACCGAACUUGGUUAUAGCUGGUUGUCCAAGAAUUGAAUAGAAGUUCAGCCUUUUGUCUUCUACCCCCAACUUAAAUUUAUACUUAAGCGAUAAAGAAGACAAAAGAGUUAGUCAAAGGGGGUACAGCCCCUUUGAAAUAGAUACAACUUUAGCAGAAGGGUCAGGAUCCUACAAUCCCAGGGACCAUGUUCUGGUUGGCCUAAAAGCAGCCACCCACUCAGAAAGCGUUAAAGCUCGUACACCUCAUCCCACCCCUAUUAUUUUGAUAAUAUCAUCUAAGCCCCCUGCACUUUACUGGACCUUUCCAUUUUUUAUGGAAGAGAUUAUGCUAACAUGAGUAAUAAGAGAGCUAGACUCUCUCCCCGCACAAGUUUACCUCGGAAAGAACACACACCGAGAAUUAACGGCCUCAAAGAAGAGGGCAUUGGAAUAGUUUGGACAAGCCACUAGAAAAAUAUCCACACACCCCACCGUUAACCUUACACUAGAGUGCUCCCAGGGAAAGACUAAAAGAAAGAGAAGGAACUCGGCA